CAAUAGCGUAUAUUAAUGUUGUUGCAGUUAAAAAGCUCGUAGUUGGAUAUCUGGCCUUUGCGUUGACGACCCGCCCUCUUUUGGGAUGAGCGUUGGAGACGUGGGUCUAUUUUCCGGUUGGUGUCCAUUCCACUUUAUUGGGGCGUGGUUCACGAUCCGGAUCGUUUACUUUGAAAAAAUUCGAGUGUUCAUAGCAGGCUUACGCCGUGAAGAUCGCAGCAUGGAAUAAUAACAUAGGACUUGGCGUUCUAUUUUGUUGGUUCUGGAACCUAAGUAAUGAUUGAUAGGGACAGUUGGGGGUGCUGCUAUAGACUGGCCAGAGGUGAAAUUCUAAGACUCAGUCUAGAGCAACUUAUGCGAAAGCAUUCACCAAGGAUGUCUUCUUUAA
This 388-nucleotide ribosomal RNA is filed under the name uncultured eukaryote. RNAcentral's name for it is "partial 18S ribosomal RNA". It matches the Rfam family "Eukaryotic small subunit ribosomal RNA", at positions 592 to 976 of the family's 1831-position model. The record is from RNAcentral.